Molecule: ribosomal RNA, 441 nt
Filed under: uncultured bacterium
Lineage: Bacteria
Description: bacterial SSU rRNA
Rfam family: Bacterial small subunit ribosomal RNA
Source: RNAcentral
UCCUACGGGGGGCAGCAGUGAGGGAUAUUGCACAAUGGGCGCAAGCCUGAUGCAGCGACGCCGCGUGGAUGAAGAAGGCUUUCGGGUCGUAAAAUCCUUUUGCGCGUGACGAGAUAGGACGGUAGCGCGCGAAUAAGUCUCGGCUAACUACGUGCCAGCAGCCGCGGUAAAACGUAGGAGACGAACGUUAUCCGGAGUUACUGGGCGUAAAGGGCGUGCAGGCGGUUGGAUAAGUCUGGCGUGAAAUUUUCCGGCUUAACCGGGGGAUGUCGUCGGAGACUGUCUGACUAGAGGGUGAUAGAGGCGUGUGGAAUUCCGGGUGUAGUGGUGAAAUGCGUAGAGAUCCGGAGGAACACCAGUGGCGAAGGCGACACGCUGGGUCACACCUGACGCUAAGACGCGACAGCAUGGGGAGCAAACGGGAUUAGAUACCCUGGUAGC